GCGCGUGGCCCCUUUAAGUGUCGUUUUCCGGUUCCGCCUGCUCUCACUCAGUUCGCGGCAAACGCGAUUGAGGAGAGGUUGGUGAGCUCCUAAGGAAGGCACAUACUCAGCUUUGCCAUUUGUUUGCUUUAUUCAUGCAGAAUAAAAGCCUGUUAAUUCC
Molecule: non-coding RNA, 160 nt
Organism: Danio rerio (zebrafish)
Lineage: Eukaryota; Metazoa; Chordata; Actinopteri; Cypriniformes; Danionidae
Source: RefSeq, a predicted model, not a curated record